Megalopta genalis is the source of this 571-nucleotide long non-coding RNA. RefSeq lists it as uncharacterized. NCBI's taxonomy places the organism in Eukaryota, Metazoa, Arthropoda, Insecta, Hymenoptera, Halictidae. The record is from RefSeq and is a predicted model, not a curated record.
CAUUAACACUUGGACAGCGGACCAUUUUCACAACAAUGUGGCUGAAAAUACCAAAUUAUAUUUAAAUAACGAUCCAGGACUCGGUGUCCGAACGCGAUUGCUCGUCCAAUCGAAAAUCCGCUGGAUGCUGUACAACUCACAGAGGUUUGAUUCAUUCCUGAGGAGAGUGAGACGACGACGGAAAGAGCGGAUAAACGACGCAGACUUUGAGUGGGGCGGAAAAAGCGACGACAGGCGUAGACGGAACUCUGGCAGCUGUGGCUGUGGCCGCAGAAGCAUCGCACAGAAUGAGAAGGAAUUUGAGAAGCCAGCGGAGAUAUCACAUGGAACAUACGGUCACUUGUUCUCGACUUACAUGUUAAUUUACACAUGUGUCUUAACAUACGUAACGCGCAUCUACUGUGGCUCGUAUUGAAGAUCGUCCACUAGCUUUCGGCGGUGAUAUUUUUAUAGAAGAUAUCCAACUAACAAGGCAAGUUACCCAGAUGUCCAAUUAGUAGACCACGGAUCUUUAUAGACGAUAAAAAUAGGCCAAGACAAUCGUAAAAAAUAAAAAUUAAAAAAAAAUGAA